Long non-coding RNA from Glycine soja, 675 nucleotides. RefSeq lists it as uncharacterized. The record is from RefSeq and is a predicted model, not a curated record. Lineage: Eukaryota; Viridiplantae; Streptophyta; Magnoliopsida; Fabales; Fabaceae. The transcript is spliced from 2 exons.
UAAGUGAAGAAGCUAUUCAUGUAGAGCAGAGAGGCCACUAGCACAUGCUACACAAAAAUGACUUCAAACUUUGCACAAGGAUGGCUUUCCAAGUGACUCCUGAAAUCUGCAUCCCCUUUGAAGCUGAAGGUACAUGAUUCAGGGAUGUGAACUUUGAAACAACAGCAAACUUCAAGGCCUCAAGGGUUAAAUUGCUAGACCUGCCAAUUGGCAUUAAAAUAAUGAGUUGUCAUUAGUUAUUUCAUGACAUGUUUCUUGAAACGAUAGAAUCAGCUAAAAUGGGAAGAGCCAUAAUGGAUAUAGUCUUGUUUGAAUAAACUGCUCCAUGAAUACUUAUAGGAGAAGAAAAUAAGAAGAUAUAAUGGAUUGAGCAUCUCACAUAUGUUAAACUCAACUCAUCACCUCAGCUUUUGGAAACAUUAGAUGGGAGAAGUUCCAUAAAACUUGAAGUCCAUAAGUUGAUUUUAAUUGAUAGGAAAAAUUCAAUUCAUUACAUCUUUCACCUCAGCUUUUUUUUUUUUUGGCAGCUUUUAUUCAGCUUAUGAUUGAUAAGUGACCAAGAGAUGCCAUAAAGUUUGAUGGGAAACAAUUAUCAUACCAGAUGAUGAAAACUUGUAAUAGGACUAUAGCCUAGAAAAAAUAACUAAUCAAAGUAAACAGUAUACCUCAAGUAAA